RNAcentral lists this ribosomal RNA (690 nucleotides) under uncultured Bacteroidales bacterium. RNAcentral describes it as "bacterial SSU rRNA". It matches the Rfam family "Bacterial small subunit ribosomal RNA", at positions 32 to 715 of the family's 1533-position model. The record is from RNAcentral. Lineage: Bacteria; Pseudomonadati; Bacteroidota; Bacteroidia; Bacteroidales.
AACGCUAGCUACAGGCUUAACACAUGCAAGUCGAGGGGCAGCACUAGGUAGCAAUACUGAGGUGGCGACCGGCGCACGGGUGCGUAACGCGUAUCCAACCUUCCCGUUACUCUUGGAUAGCCUUCCGAAAGGGAGAUUAAUACAAGAUGGUAUUCAAAUUCCGCAUGUUAUUUGAAUUAAAGAUUAAUCGGUAACGGAUGGGGAUGCGUGACAUUAGAUAGUAGGCGGGGUAACGGCCCACCUAGUCUACGAUGUCUAGGGGUUCUGAGAGGAAGGUCCCCCACACUGGAACUGAGACACGGUCCAGACUCCUACGGGAGGCAGCAGUGAGGAAUAUUGGUCAAUGGUCGGAAGACUGAACCAGCCAAGUAGCGUGAAGGAUGAAGGUUCUAUGGAUUGUAAACUUCUUUUAUACGGGAAUAAAACCUCCCACGUGCGGGAGUUUGUAUGUACCGUAUGAAUAAGCAUCGGCUAACUCCGUGCCAGCAGCCGCGGUAAUACGGAGGAUGCGAGCGUUAUCCGGAUUUAUUGGGUUUAAAGGGAGCGUAGACGGGAUGUUAAGUCAGUUGUGAAAGGCUGCGACUCAACCGCAGCACUGCAGUUGAUACUGGCGUCCUUGAGUGCGGUUGAGGUAUGUGGAAUUCGUGGUGUAGCGGUGAAAUGCUUAGAUAUCACGAAGAACUCCGAUUG